GUGGGGAAUUUUGGACAAUGGGCGCAAGCCUGAUCCAGCCAUGCCGCGUGAGUGAAGAAGGCCUUCGGGUUGUAAAGCUCUUUCGGCCGGGAAGAAAUCGGCGACUCUAACAUAGUCGCUGGAUGACGGUACCGGACUAAGAAGCACCGGCUAACUACGUGCCAGCAGCCGCGGUAAUACGUAGGGUGCGAGCGUUAAUCGGCAUUACUGGGCGUAAAGCGUGCGCAGGCGGUUUUGUAAGACAGAUGUGAAAUCCCCGGGCUUAACCUGGGAACUGCGUUUGUGACUGCAAGGCUAGAGUACGGCAGAGGGGGGUGGAAUUCCUGGUGUAGCAGUGAAAUGCGUAGAUAUCAGGAGGAACACCGAUGGCGAAGGCAGCCCCCUGGGCCUGUACUGACGCUCAUGCACGAAAGCGUGGGGAGCAAACAGGAUUAGAAACCCCUGUAGUCC
RNAcentral lists this ribosomal RNA (450 nucleotides) under uncultured bacterium. RNAcentral's name for it is "partial 16S ribosomal RNA". It matches the Rfam family "Bacterial small subunit ribosomal RNA", at positions 354 to 796 of the family's 1533-position model. The record is from RNAcentral.